AUGACCAGAGUCACGAACAGCUACUAUGUACUGCCUGAAGAACCAGAACCUGAGCGUACCGUGCCCAAUACACACAUCAUUGGCAAGGUAAUGUUCUUAACCGCUGUUGCCAAGCCUCGCUACACCGACGAUGGGGAACUAACAUUCGAUGGAAAAAUUGGCACAUGGGCGUUCCUGGUAGAGACUGAGGCGCAAAGAACCGGCCAAAACAGAGAUCGAGGAACGAUAGAGAUGAAAUCAGUGAAAGUAACCAGGCCCGUCUGUAGAGAUUACCUGAUCAAUAAAGUUAUCCCUGCAAUACAAGACAAGUGGCCUGACGAAGACGUGGGCACAACAAUUUUCAUCCAACAAGAUAAUGCGAGACCACAUGUCCUACCUAAUGAUGCAGGUUUUCUGGAAGCUGUGCAACAAACGGAUCUAGACAUUCGACUGUUACAACAACCGCCAAACAGCCCCGAGCUUAAUGUUUUAGACCUUUGUUUCCACCGCUCCCUCCAAUCCCUAACCGACAGCAGAGCACCUAUGAAUAUCCAGGAGUUGGUACAUGGUGUAGAGGAGGAGUUUGAGAACUAUGAUGCACAUAAGUUGUUCAAAAGCUUCAUCACACUGCAAGCAGUAAUGGUUGAAGUCAUGAAAGAUCAAGGAGGAAAUACCUACAAGCUGCCGCAUCUACACAAGGACCGUCUACAAAAUGGUGGAGAAGAAAUAACCGGUGUAUAUUGCAGUGCAGAGCUAAUUACUGAUACAAUGGCCAUUAUAGAAUAA
Molecule: ribosomal RNA, 765 nt
Filed under: Triticum aestivum (bread wheat)
Lineage: Eukaryota; Viridiplantae; Streptophyta; Magnoliopsida; Poales; Poaceae
Description: partial small subunit ribosomal RNA
Source: RNAcentral